RNAcentral lists this ribosomal RNA (465 nucleotides) under Vreelandella stevensii. Its description in RNAcentral is "partial 16S ribosomal RNA". It matches the Rfam family "Bacterial small subunit ribosomal RNA", at positions 338 to 795 of the family's 1533-position model. Lineage: Bacteria; Pseudomonadati; Pseudomonadota; Gammaproteobacteria; Oceanospirillales; Halomonadaceae. The record is from RNAcentral.
CCUACGGGGGGCUGCAGUGGGGAAUAUUGGACAAUGGGCGAAAGCCUGAUCCAGCCAUGCCGCGUGUGUGAAGAAGGCCUUCGGGUUGUAAAGCACUUUCAGUGGGGAAGAAAGCCUUGGGGCUAAUACCCUCGAGGAAGGACAUCACCCACAGAAGAAGCACCGGCUAACUCCGUGCCAGCAGCCGCGGUAAUACGGAGGGUGCGAGCGUUAAUCGGAAUUACUGGGCGUAAAGCGCGCGUAGGCGGUCUGAUAAGCCGGUUGUGAAAGCCCCGGGCUCAACCUGGGAACGGCAUCCGGAACUGUCAGGCUAGAGUGCAGGAGAGGAAGGUAGAAUUCCCGGUGUAGCGGUGAAAUGCGUAGAGAUCGGGAGGAAUACCAGUGGCAAAGGCGGCCUUCUGGACUGACACUGACGCUGAGGUGCGAAAGCGUGGGUAGCAAACAGGAUUAGAUACCCUAGUAGUC